Molecule: long non-coding RNA, 2350 nt
Organism: Cyprinus carpio (common carp)
Lineage: Eukaryota; Metazoa; Chordata; Actinopteri; Cypriniformes; Cyprinidae
Source: Ensembl
GAGAGCGGCGCCCCGCGUGUCACAUCCAGCCGCGAAAUCAUCCAAGAAGACGACGAAGAGGCCCUGACACAGGCAACUCGGAGAUGUGGGAGACUGCUCUUCAGGAGAUGGCGGAGACAGUGCCACUCCUUCCCCCGGAGGAGGGCCUGGUGGAGAAUUAUUUUUGCUCCGCCGCUGGUCCAACGGCCAGCGGUACCCACAGUUUCAAUAAAAGAGCAAUUUCCCUUUCCUCUGAGUUGCAAGGCUCGUGGGUUGACAAUGAGCGACGCACUGCCUCCUUAUUCUCACCCACGACGCCCCCUUUCGCCAGUGGCCAAGAGGUUGCGGUUCGGAGACGCAACGCCUCUCCACGCAUCUCUGUCGGGAACACGGGGAGUUUUGCUGUGAUGACUCAGAACGCGAUGCUUUCUGGGCCAUCCGACACAACUCCCCAUCGCUGCACCACUGCGGGUAUGUCGACUUUCCCUUUGGUGCCACUUGUACGGAGUUUGGGGGCGUGGCUUGCGCUGCCCAACCCGUCAUGCUGGCUCAUUUGGAUGGUUCGACUCGGUUAUGCGGUUCAGUUCGCCCGGCGACUUCCCAAGUUCGAAUGGCGUUCUCGAGGCUCCGGUGGCAGUCCGGGACGCCUCUGUCCUGCGCGAGGAGAUUGCUGUCCGGCGGGCGAAGGAUGCAAUCAAGCCGGUCCCUCCAGCCGAGAUGAGGAGCGGGUUUUACAACCCUUACUUCAUCAUACCCAAGAAAAGCGGUGGCCUUCGACCUAUCCUGGGUCUGCGAGUCUUGAAUCGGGUCCUGCACAAGCUCCCGCUCAAGAUGAUGACGCAGAAACUUAUUAUCAAAUGCGUCCAAACCCAGGAUUGGUUUGCAGCGAUCGACCUGAAGGAUGAGUUCUUUCAUGUCUCGAUCCUCCCUUACCACAGACCGGUUCUGCGGUUUGCGUUCAAGGGUCGGGCAUGGCAGUACAAGGUCCUCCCCCUCGGGCUCUCCCUGUCUCCCGUGUCUUCACGAAGGUCGCGGUGGGUGCCCUUGCCCCACUCUGGGAAGUGGGCAUCAGGAUCCUCAACUAUCUCGACCCGAGAGGAGUUGUGCGUUCACAGGGACCUGGUGCUUCGGCACCUCAGUCAGUUGGGGCUUCAGGUCAACCGAGGAAAGAGCAAGCUCUCCUCUGCGCAGAGAAUCUCUUAUCUCAGUAUGGAGUUAGACUCGGUGAGUAUGACGGCACGUCUCUCCAGCGAGCAUGCCCAGUCAGUGCUGAACUGCCUGAGUUCCUUCAGAGGCAGGACACACGAAGGUCGCGGAGGGCGCCCUUGCCCCACUUUGGGAAGUGGGCAUCAGGAUCCUCAACUAUCUCGACGACUGGCUCAUUAUGGCCCGGUCCCGAGAGGAGUUGUGCGAUCACAGGGACUUCGUGCUCCGGCACCUCAGUCAGUUGGGGCUUCAGGUCAACCGAGAGAAGAGCAAGCUCUCCCCUGCGCAGAGAAUCUCUUAUCUCGGUAUGGAGUUAGACUCGGUGAGUAUGACGGCACGUCUCACCAGCGAGCGUGCCCAGUCAGUGCUGAACUGCCUGAGUUCCUUCAGAGGCAGGACAGUGGUACCACUGAAACACUUUCAGAGGCUCCUGGGGCAUAUGGCAUCCGCAGCCGCAGUCACGCCGCUCGGGUUGCUUCAUAUGAGGCCACUUCAGCACUGGUUGCACUCCCGAGUCCCGAGAUGGGCAUGGCGCCGCGGUACACAUCGUGUCACCAUCACACCGAUGUGUCGCCGCCAAUUCAGCCCCUGGUCAGACCUUGCCUUUCUACGGGCCGGCGUGCCCUUAGAACAAGUGUCCCGGCAUGUUGUUGUCACAACAGAUGCCUCCAAAACGGGCUGGGGCGCGACAUGCAACGGGCAGGCAGCUUCAGGGUCCUGGACAGGACCUCGACUGCUUUGGCACAUCAACUGUCUGGAGUUGCUGGCAGUGCAUCUAGCUUUACGACGGUUUCGGCCGCUGUUGCUAGACAAGCACGUGUUGGUCCGCACGGACAACACUGCGGCUGUUUCGUACAUCAACCGACAGGGCGGUCUACGAUCACGUCGCAUGUCUCAACUCGCCCGCCAUCUCCUCCUCUGGAGUCAGACGCGGCUCAAGUCGCUGCGCGCUAUCCACAUCCCGGGGGAGUUCAAUCGUGCAGCCGAUGUGCUUUCACGACAGCUCACUUUCCCCGGGGAAUGGCGACUCCAUCCCCAGACGGUCCAGCUGAUUUGGAGUCGAUUCGGGGAAGCCCAGGUAGACCUGUUUGCUUCCCACGAGUCCUCCCACUGCCAGCUGUACUAUUCCCUGUCCCAGGCCCCCCUGGGCAUGGAUGCACUGGCA